GAGUUUGAUCUUGGCUCAGAUUGAACGCUGGCGGCAUGCCUUACACAUGCAAGUCGAACGGCAGCACGGGAGCUUGCUCCUGGUGGCGAGUGGCGAACGGGUGAGUAAUGCAUCGGAACGUAUCCUGGAGUGGGGGAUAACGUAGCGAAAGUUACGCUAAUACCGCAUAUUCUGUGAGCAGGAAAGCGGGGGACCUUCGGGCCUCGCGCUCUUGGAGCGGCCGAUGUCGGAUUAGCUAGUUGGUGAGGUAAAGGCUCACCAAGGCGACGAUCCGUAGCAGGUCUGAGAGGAUGAUCUGCCACACUGGAACUGAGACACGGUCCAGACUCCUACGGGAGGCAGCAGUGGGGAAUUUUGGACAAUGGGGGCAACCCUGAUCCAGCCAUGCCGCGUGAGUGAGAAGGCCUCGGUUGUAAG
This 417-nucleotide ribosomal RNA is filed under the name bacterium enrichment culture clone ALO1_GLFRUDD03GZOKY. Its description in RNAcentral is "bacterial SSU rRNA". It matches the Rfam family "Bacterial small subunit ribosomal RNA", at positions 9 to 429 of the family's 1533-position model. The record is from RNAcentral.